Long non-coding RNA from Bubalus bubalis (water buffalo), 833 nucleotides. RefSeq lists it as uncharacterized. NCBI's taxonomy places the organism in Eukaryota, Metazoa, Chordata, Mammalia, Artiodactyla, Bovidae. The record is from RefSeq and is a predicted model, not a curated record. The transcript is spliced from 4 exons.
ACCGAAAGCCAGUAGAUGAAUGGGAAAGAGGUGGGCCUGGUUCCUUAAAGGGGACGCCUUGAGAACCUAGCAAAAGAGGUGUUUGAAGAAACUUCUUUGUAUCCUGUUCUCUGUUCUGCUUUUACACGUCUUUUGUAGGAGUUUGAAAGUGGAAAAACUAGAAAGAAAGAGCACACGGAAGGCUUUCAAGAACGAUUAGAGAGAUCCUCUUAUCCUAGAGGGCAGGAAGGCGGGAUGAAGCUCUGUAAUAGAAGGUGAGGAAGAAUAAAAAAGAAUGCAGACGUCUCCGGGUGCCAUUUCACUGGAAGACCAUUGCCGACCUGACGCUGCUCGAAUUUGUUGGCUGCGAUCAUCUAUCAUUUUUCAUUUGCCCCAAAGGCGGUUUCCUGCGAUCUGGAGAUGACCGGGUUAAGAAAGGUGUCCUCCACCUAGUGGAGCGCUUCCACCUCCAGGUUUGGAAAUGUCCCGGAUCUUAGACGUCCGGGGACUAGACCAGGCUUAUUCAGUUUUUAUAUUUUGGCUGCCCCAUAGGGCAUGUGGGAUCUUAGCUUCCCAACCAGGGAUCAAACCCACAUUCUCUCCACUGGCAGCACAGAAGUCUUAAUCAAUGGACCAUCAUUGGAUUGGCAAGGGCUUUCAGAGCAGUACUAUACAGAAGUGGACUGGCAAUAAUCCAGGAACCAUGCUCUAAAUUUGUCCAAGGAGCUACCUCAGAUAUGCAGAUGACACCCUUAUGGCAGAAAGCAAAGAGGAACUAAAGAGCCUCUUGAUGACAGUGAAAGAGGAGAGAGAAAAAGUUGACUUAAAGCUCAAUAUUCAGAAAACGAAGAUCA